UGAACCUGCGGAGGGAUCAUUACCGAGUUUACAACUCCCAAACCCAAUGUGAACGUUACCAAACUGUUGCCUCGGCGGGAUCUCUGCCCCGGGUGCGUCGCAGCCCCGGACCAAGGCGCCCGCCGGAGGACCAACCAAAACUCUUAUUGUAUACCCCCUCGCGGGUUUUUUUAUAAUCUGAGCCUUCUCGGCGCCUCUCGUAGGCGUUUCGAAAAUGAAUCAAAACUUUCAACAACGGAUCUCUUGGUUCUGGCAUCGAUGAAGAACGCAGCGAAAUGCGAUAAGUAAUGUGAAUUGCAGAAUUCAGUGAAUCAUCGAAUCUUUGAACGCACAUUGCGCCCGCCAGUAUUCUGGCGGGCAUGCCUGUCCGAGCGUCAUUUCAACCCUCGAACCCCUCCGGGGGGUCGGCGUUGGGGAUCGGCCCUGCCUUGGCGGUGGCCGUCUCCGAAAUACAGUGGCGGUCUCGCCGCAGCCUCUCCUGCGCAGUAGUUUGCACACUCGCAUCGGGAGCGCGGCGCGUCCACAGCCGUUAAACACCCAACUUCUGAAAUGUUGACCUCGGAUCAGGUAGGAAUACCCGCUGAACUUAAGCAUAUCAAUAGGCGG
Molecule: ribosomal RNA, 606 nt
Filed under: Trichoderma harzianum
Lineage: Eukaryota; Fungi; Ascomycota; Sordariomycetes; Hypocreales; Hypocreaceae
Description: eukaryotic LSU rRNA
Rfam family: 5.8S ribosomal RNA (bases 224-377)
Source: RNAcentral